GCGUAUGUGGUCUAGUGGUAUGAUAGCUGCCUUCCAAGCAGUUGAACCGGGUUCGAUUCCCGGCAUACGCA
Molecule: transfer RNA, 71 nt
Organism: Dictyostelium discoideum AX4
Lineage: Eukaryota; Evosea; Eumycetozoa; Dictyosteliales; Dictyosteliaceae
Rfam family: tRNA
About the family: Transfer RNA (tRNA) molecules are approximately 80 nucleotides in length. Their secondary structure includes four short double-helical elements and three loops (D, anti-codon, and T loops).
Source: Rfam